GGACCUUUAGCUCAGUUGGUUAGAGCAGCCGGCUCAUAACCGGCUUGUCCGGGGUUCGAGUCCCUGAAGGUCCA
This 74-nucleotide transfer RNA is filed under the name Lachnospiraceae bacterium. Its description in RNAcentral is "tRNA-Ile". It matches the Rfam family "tRNA". From Rfam's summary of the family: Transfer RNA (tRNA) molecules are approximately 80 nucleotides in length. Their secondary structure includes four short double-helical elements and three loops (D, anti-codon, and T loops). RNAcentral also lists the same sequence under 1 other name. Lineage: Bacteria; Bacillati; Bacillota; Clostridia; Lachnospirales; Lachnospiraceae. The record is from RNAcentral.